GACGAACGCUGGCGGCGUGCUUAACACAUGCAAGUCGAACGGAAAGGCCCUGCUUUUGUGGGGUGCUCGAGUGGCGAACGGGUGAGUAACACGUGAGUAACCUGCCCUUGACUUUGGGAUAACUUCAGGAAACAGGGGCUCAUACCGGAUAGGAGCUCCUGCUGCAUGGUGGUGGUUGGAAAGUUUCGGCGGUUGUGGAUGGACUCGCGGCUUAUCAGCUUGUUGGUCGGGUAGUGGCUUACGAAGGCUUAGACGGGUAGCCGGCCUGAGAGGGUGACCGGGCACAUGGGUCCUGCGAUAGGCACCAGACGCCUACGGGCGGCAGUGGUGGGGAACAUGGCACAAUGGGCGGAAGCCUGAUGUAGCAGUGUCGCGUGCGUGAUGACGGCUUUUGGGGUGUAAACAGAUGUGGCCGGUGAUGAAGCCGGAGUGACGGUAAUGGGUAAAGAAGCAACGGCUAACUACGUG
RNAcentral lists this ribosomal RNA (468 nucleotides) under uncultured bacterium. RNAcentral's name for it is "partial 16S ribosomal RNA". It matches the Rfam family "Bacterial small subunit ribosomal RNA", at positions 28 to 507 of the family's 1533-position model. The record is from RNAcentral.